Molecule: long non-coding RNA, 1177 nt
Organism: Magnolia sinica
Lineage: Eukaryota; Viridiplantae; Streptophyta; Magnoliopsida; Magnoliales; Magnoliaceae
Exons: 8
Source: RefSeq, a predicted model, not a curated record
CUACUUAACCACCUACUAGGCACAUCAUGUAAUUUCUUUGGUUUUGCAUAAAGUAUGCUUAUAUUUGGACAACACAUAGUUUUGCUGUUCUCUUACAGGUGGUUUCUUGUAGGUGCUUUUUCUUAGUUUCGUGUUGUUUUGCUGGUGGUUGCUUGCUAACUUUUAGGACUUGAUCAGGUUUGACUAUAUUGAACGAGAUUGCCGAGCUCGUGGCCUUGGUUGCAAUUUUGAAUUUCAGAGGUUAAUGGAAUGCAUUUUUGGAUUGUGUAUUUUAUAUAUUUUUUCUUGCUUUUUAUUCUUUUCCUUUGUAUAUGUUUGGAUACUAGAAACUAAGUUUGAAAAUCUUGGAUGGUUUUGAAUCACAUAUAUAGCAGCACGACCUAUGUUGCCUUGAAAGAAAUUUCGAUAAAAGACGGGAUAUGCAAUCUUCAGAAGAAGGUAUUUGAUGUCCUCUACCGGAUAACAGACAUCCCUUCUUAGAAGCUUACAAGAUCAAGAUAAUUCUUGAAGAGAUGGAUUUCCUUAGUGUUCUUCAAAUGAUUCCUUCAUGUUUUCAACUAGCGAUGACAUAACAUUGGUCUAUUGGGCUCCACUGUGGAUGGACCAUUUCAUAAUAUCUCCCAAGAACUCCGUAGCAGCCAUGAGAUGAAACAUGAACUUCAUUCUUAGUUGAGAUCCAAGAGGCAAGGACACAAGACUUAAUAAUUUGGAAAAUUAAGUCUUAUUUUUUAAUCAUAAUUACUUGUUUUGUUUAGACUUUAGAUGAUAUUUCCAAGCUCGUGCUUGAAUUAUUUGAAGUGCCUAUGAUGGCUUGGUAGUGUUCUUUUGUGUCAUAUUGUAAGAUUCAAGCUUUUAUUGAAAUAUGUUUGUAGAAUUAUCUGAGGCCUGAUAUCAAGAGAGGAAAAUUCUCCAGUGAAGAAGAGUGGAUCAUUGUCAACCUUCAUUCGGUUGUUGGAAAUAAAUUCUCACAUAAGAAAACUAUGUUCGCAAGAACGACAUUCUUGAUGUGCAGCUAUUGCAAGUGACACAGCAAGGCUCGGACAUGUUACUGUGGUAUGGGGAUUAUAGGACCUGAUCUAUUGACAUCCUUGUAUGCAUCAUGUAUAGGCCUUAAAUUGCUUAACUUCUAACUGUAUUUGGCUGUGCCUAGAGGACUUGGUCUAUUUCGUGUUUGGAU